This is an RNA transcript of Oryzias latipes (Japanese medaka), 3031 nucleotides long. It is a transcript of the gene named myelin protein zero, with no coding region annotated. Lineage: Eukaryota; Metazoa; Chordata; Actinopteri; Beloniformes; Adrianichthyidae. The record is from RefSeq and is a predicted model, not a curated record.
AGUGAGGGUUCUGUUGUUUUGAAGCCCUACAUCCAGGCAUCCUUGACCCCUCCGCUCUCCUUUCUCUUGUCUCCUCCCUGCAGAGCAGGACUCCUGUCGGGUUUUUGGGAAGCCAGGAACAACCAUGUUGGCGGUGUUGGUGUCGAUUGUCUCCCUAGGAAUAGUGGCGCAGCAGUGCCAGGCCAUAGUGAUUUACACCGGCUGGGAGCGCCAUGCUUUGGUGGGCUCCGACAUCCGGCUCUCCUGCUCCUUCUUCUCCUGGCGCUGGACCUCGGAGGACGUCACCUUCUCCUGGACCUACCGGCCGGACGGCUCACGGGACAGCAUCUCUAUCUUCCACUACACCGGGGGUGAAGCGUACCUCGACAAUAAGGGCCCCUUCAAGGACAGGCUGGAGUUUGUGGGGAACCCGGGUCGCCGUGACGGCUCCAUCCUCAUCAAGAACCUGGACUUCAAUGAUAACGGCACCUUCACCUGUGACGCCAAGAACCCCCCGGACAUAGUGGGGCGGCCCUCCAGCGUCCGCCUGCUGGUUUUUGAGAAAGUGCCCAUCCAGGCCGGUGUGAUCACAGGAGCCAUCAUUGGAGUGGUGCUGGGCCUGCUGGUGCUCGUCGUGGUCAUCUACUACCUGAUGAGGUUCCUGGUGGCCCGCCGAGUCUUCAGCCUCAACGUCAGCAAACAUGGCAAGAAAAAGAAAGAGGGAUCACAGCAGAGACAGGGCCCCGCGCCUCCUGCUGACCCCUCCAAGGUGAAGGCGGCCGCCUCUGAAAAGAAGAAGCAGGAGUCCCGCAAGGAUAAGAAAUAGGAAACGGGGAGGGGCUGGGGCGGCCUCGCCCUCCGGCUGUUCCAGCCCUCACGCCAGAUAAAGGUCUGACUUCUCCAUGACUGCCUCCACUCCUCUAGUCUGAUCCCUCCUUUUCUGCCCUGCCUGAUGCAGCCCCCGUUAAUUCUCAUUAUCUCUACUCUUUCAAGACAGCACUGGCUGUAAGAAUAGUCCCCCUAAAUCACUGGGAACGGUGUCAAAUAAUUUUUACAAUGCUUCGUUGGAGACCCCCAUGCACUUAUUGGAUGAAGUGUAAAAGUGUUUAAGGUCUAACUGUCCACAUAACUUCCUCAAGGAGAGCCUGACAGACAUCCUCAUAUGUUUCCAUUGAAUCUUCCCCUAAAUGUUUACAACUCAAUCAGGCGCCGAGCGGAGCUUGUGCACUCGCCGGACUUCAGAUGGAAAAAGGCAGUGAUGGAAACAGAAAUGUGAUUCCCGCUCUCGGCCGGCGUGGACGCCCCGGAGCUCAGAUGUGAUUCAAUCCUCUCGUAUCUGAAGUAAUGGAGGUUUGUCGCCGUGUUCCUGAGCGGGCUAACUGGGGCUAUUCCUGGCCCGGUGAGAGCGUCCAGGCUUCCUGGAAGGAACAGCUGCACAUUUCUCAGCAGAUAGCAGAGGAGGGAGGGAGGGAGGGAGCAGGAGGAGAUGCUUUCUCUGCACCAGACUGUCCGCUCUCGACUCAGUGGCCACCGACUGACGACCUGGAAUGACGUCACGGCCGUGACGGGGCGGCAGAUGCUCUCAUCAGCAGGAAGGAGUGCAGCUUCUGAGCUAUUUUUGGUGCAUUUCAUCCACCAAACAGCACAGGGCUAAUUAUUUUACACAGUGCCCUCCUCUGCUGUCUCCUCUCCCAGUCACUCUUGAUCUCUGCCCCCAUCUUGGGAAUGAUCUUCUCCCGCAACCCCCCCCCUCCUCGUUUUGUUCUCUCCUUCCUUGUCUUUCCUUUAUCUUCUUCUGUUCCAGCCAUCCACCCAGCCUGCCCGGCAUUAUUCCCCCACAGAAAAGGCCCGCAUACAAUCCACUUUCUAAACCCUCUUAUCUGACUGCCAAGCCUUCAGCUCAAUGCCUCUCUUCCUCCUCCUGUCCUUCCUCAUCUUCCCUGCCUUUUAAACUCAGUGGUAGACAUCUCCCUCCCCUCCUUCCAUCUUCAGUGAUCUACAAACAUACUCUCGCUUGCCCAUCAACCCCCCCCCCCCCCCCAAAGGCACGUCCAUCCAGGAGCCCGCCUCCGCUCCUUCUCCAAGCCUUCACCAACUGGUUUCUGCUGGGUCCGACGCCUUGGUGCUCUCCUCUGCCUGCUACUGGCAGAUGACAGCCUGCACCCAAGACGGGAACUCCUAAUCUAGCUAGCUCUCUUCUGGAUGCAAACACAUUGUUUCAGUGUAUGUGUGUUAAAAAAGUUUAAGUAAGUGUAAAAAUGUCUGUAAAAAUCCCCCUAGGUAAAGCAAUUAACGUUGAGACAUUUUUUUACACGUGCACAAGUUAACGCCGGGGAGGAAAAUGUAAUUAUCUUCAGCAGAACAUCUCAUUACAUUUCUGACCUUGUGUGUUAUGAACUGCACUGCGCGGCUGUCUCUUGCUUUCUCCUGUGAUGAGGAAAAAUCGAGAGAUGGUUCAGUUCGACGUGGAUUCAGUUAGACGUGGCUACAGGGGAAAACCAAACGCAGAAAGGUGCAGGUAGCUGGGGGGUAAGGCCUCAGAGGAAUCUGUCAUGCUCCGCCCUGCCAAGAAUCCCCGUGUGUCACCACAGAUCGUCUGCUCUGCCCCCACAGCUUUCCUUUACAGGUCCUUUUACCCCAGGGACAGAUGGGUUUGAAUCUGCAGGGUGGACAGGAUAGACUUGAAUGUUCCUUUUAAAUUCAUAACCUGAAGGGAGGUGCUAUAAUCCACAUCUUUGUCGUGGUUGUUUAACUGUAAAUCCAGAUGGAUCUGUUUGAAUGUUUCCUUCUGUUCUGCCGAGCGCAGACACCUGACACGACACAAAAGACAUUAAAAACUUCUGUUUGCUACCAUAAACUGUAUUAGUCAUUAACAUCUCUUUUUUUGAAAUUUGAAAUGAGUGGCGCUUACAUUCCUUUUUUUUAUUACAUUUAUUUCAAGGCUUCUUAUAAUUCCAGAUCACUAACUUCUUGUUGGCUCUGUAUAAUAAAUGUUGUAAAAAAAGGUGUACAAAAAUAAAGCUGCAAACACAGCCGGCAAAACCAAACUCCA